Molecule: ribosomal RNA, 499 nt
Filed under: uncultured bacterium
Lineage: Bacteria
Description: partial 16S ribosomal RNA
Rfam family: Bacterial small subunit ribosomal RNA
Source: RNAcentral
GACGAACGCUGGCGGCGUGCCUAAUACAUGCAAGUCGAGCGAGACUCUUCGGAGUCUAGCGGCGGACGGGUGAGUAACACGUGGGCAACCUGCCUGUAAGACUGGGAUAACACCGGGAAACCGGUGCUAAUACCGGAUAAUCCUUUUUCUCUCAUGAGGAAAAGCUGAAAGGCGGUUUCGGCUGACACUUACAGAUGGGCCGCGGCGCAUUAGCUAGUUGGUGAGGUAACGGCUCACCAAGGCGACGAUGCGUAGCCGACCUGAGAGGGGGAUCGGCCACACUGGGACUGAGACACGGCCCAGACUCCUACGGGAGGCAGCAGUAGGGAAUCUUCCACAAUGGACGAAAGUCUGAUGGAGCAACGCCGCGUGAGCGAUGAAGGCCUUCGGGUCGUAAAGCUCUGUUGUUAGGGAAGAACAGCUUCCGGAGGAAAUGCCGGAGGUUUGCCGGUACCUCACCAGAAAGCCCCGGCUAACUACGUGCCAGCCGCCGCGGUAA